This 436-nucleotide ribosomal RNA is filed under the name Bacillus subtilis. Its description in RNAcentral is "bacterial SSU rRNA". It matches the Rfam family "Bacterial small subunit ribosomal RNA", at positions 39 to 465 of the family's 1533-position model. The record is from RNAcentral. Lineage: Bacteria; Bacillati; Bacillota; Bacilli; Caryophanales; Bacillaceae.
UCGCAGUGAUAUAGUUAUACUGCACGUCGAGCGGAAGAUGGUAGCUGGCUCCGUGAUGUUAGCGGCGGACGGGUGAGUGCACGUGGGUAACCUGGCUGUAGGACUGGGAUAACUCCGGGAAACCGGGGCUAAUACCGGAUGGUUGUUUGAACCGCAUGGUUCAGACAUAAAAUGUGGCUUCGGCUACCACUUACAGAUGGUCCCGCGGGACAUUAGCUAGUUGGUGAGGUAACGGCUCACCAAGGCGACGAUGCGUAGCCGACCUGAGAGGGUGAUCGGCCACACUGGGACUGAGACACGGCCCAGACUCCUAUUUGAGGUCUUCCCCACGAAUCUUCCGCAAUGGACGAAAGUCUGACGGAGCAACGCCGCGUGAGUGAUGAAGGUUUUCGGAUCGGGAGGUCUGUUGUUAGGGAAUAACAACUGCCGCUCAAAU